UAAAUACUCGCUCCGUCCCAAAAUUAUUGUUUUAGAAUUGUCUAGAUAUAAAUGUAUCUAGUCACGUUUUAUUAUUUAGAUGCAUCAUUUUCUAGACAAAUCUAAGACAAGAAUUUUAAGACGGAGGGAGUACAAG
Hordeum vulgare subsp. vulgare (domesticated barley) is the source of this 136-nucleotide non-coding RNA. The record is from Rfam. NCBI's taxonomy places the organism in Eukaryota, Viridiplantae, Streptophyta, Magnoliopsida, Poales, Poaceae.